AAGAAAGUGACAGAAGGGUUAUGUGGCUGGCUUGAAACCAGUUCAUGGGGGUUCAAAUCCUCCCUUUCUCG
Molecule: transfer RNA, 71 nt
Filed under: Paratrypauchen microcephalus (comb goby)
Lineage: Eukaryota; Metazoa; Chordata; Actinopteri; Gobiiformes; Gobiidae
Description: tRNA-Ser
Rfam family: tRNA
About the family: Transfer RNA (tRNA) molecules are approximately 80 nucleotides in length. Their secondary structure includes four short double-helical elements and three loops (D, anti-codon, and T loops). Further hydrogen bonds mediate the characteristic L-shaped molecular structure. tRNAs have two regions of fundamental functional importance: the anti-codon, which is responsible for specific mRNA codon recognition, and the 3' end, to which the tRNAs corresponding amino acid is attached (by aminoacyl-tRNA synthetases). tRNAs cope with the degeneracy of the genetic code in two manners: having more than one tRNA (with a specific anti-codon) for a particular amino acid; and 'wobble' base-pairing, i.e. permitting non-standard base-pairing at the 3rd anti-codon position.
Source: RNAcentral